GAGUUUGAUCGUGGCUCAGGACGAACGCUGGCGGCGCGCUUAACACAUGCAAGUCGAGCGAGAACCAGGCCUUCGGGCCUGGGGACAGCGGCGAACGGGUGGAGUAACACGUGGGUAAUCAGCCCUCGAUACUGGGAUAGCCCGGGGAAACCCGGAUUAAUACCGGAUGGCCCUUUGGAUCCUCGGAUCUGAAGGAAAAGGUAGCUUCGGCCUCCGAUCGAGGACGAGCCCGCGGCGGAUUAGCUUGUUGGUGAGGUAACGGCCCACCAAGGCGACGAUCCGUAGCUGGUCUGAGAGGACGAUCAGCCACACUGGGACUGAGACACGGCCCGAGACUCCUACGGGAGGCAGCAGUGGGGAAUCUUGCGCUAAUGCGGGAAACCGUGACGCAGCGACGCCGCGUGAGGGAAGAAGGCCUCGGUU
Molecule: ribosomal RNA, 423 nt
Filed under: uncultured bacterium
Lineage: Bacteria
Description: bacterial SSU rRNA
Rfam family: Bacterial small subunit ribosomal RNA
Source: RNAcentral